Molecule: transfer RNA, 64 nt
Filed under: Athous haemorrhoidalis
Lineage: Eukaryota; Metazoa; Arthropoda; Insecta; Coleoptera; Elateridae
Description: tRNA-His
Source: RNAcentral
AUUUAAGUAGUUUAAAGAAAAUUUCGAUUUGUGGAGUCGAAGAUAUAGUUCAUUAUCUUAGAUA